CUCCUACGGGGGGCAGCAGUAGGGAAUCUUCCACAAUGGACGAAAGUCUGAUGGAGCAACGCCGCGUGAGUGAAGAAGGGUUUCGGCUCGUAAAGCUCUGUUGGUAGUGAAGAAAGAUAGAGGUAGUAACUGGCCUUUAUUUGACGGUAAUUACUUAGAAAGUCACGGCUAACUACGUGCCAGCAGCCGCGGUAAUACGUAGGUGGCAAGCGUUAUCCGGAUUUAUUGGGCGUAAAGCGAGCGCAGGCGGGUUGUUAGGGCUGUUGUGAAAGCCUUCGGCUUAAACGCAGAAGUGCAUCGGAAAC
This 305-nucleotide ribosomal RNA is filed under the name uncultured bacterium. Its description in RNAcentral is "bacterial SSU rRNA". It matches the Rfam family "Bacterial small subunit ribosomal RNA", at positions 336 to 633 of the family's 1533-position model. The record is from RNAcentral.